RNAcentral lists this ribosomal RNA (468 nucleotides) under uncultured bacterium. RNAcentral describes it as "partial 16S ribosomal RNA". It matches the Rfam family "Bacterial small subunit ribosomal RNA", at positions 28 to 507 of the family's 1533-position model. The record is from RNAcentral.
GACGAACGCUGGCGGCGUGCUUAACACAUGCAAGUCGAACGGAAAGGCCCUGCUUUUGUGGGGUGCUCGAGUGGCGAACGGGUGAGUAACACGUGAGUAACCUGCCCUUGACUUUGGUAUAACUUCAGGAAACUGGGGCUAAUACCGGAUAGGAGCUCCUGCUGCAUGGUGGGGGUUGGAAAGUUUCGGCGGUUGGGGAUGGACUCGCGGCUUAUCAGCUUGUUGGUGGGGUAGUGGCUUACCAAGGCUUUGACGGGUAGCCGGCCUGAGAGGGUGACCGGCCACAUUGGGACUGAGAUACGGCCCAGACUCCUACGGGAGGCAGAAGUGGGGAAUAUUGCAAAAUGGGCGGAAGAGUGAUGAAGCAACGCCGCGUGCGGGAUGACGGACUUCGGGUUGUAAACCGCUUUCGCCUGUGACGAAGCGUGAGUGACGGUAAUGGGUAAAGAAGAACCGGCUAACUACGUG